RNAcentral lists this ribosomal RNA (492 nucleotides) under uncultured bacterium. RNAcentral's name for it is "partial 16S ribosomal RNA". It matches the Rfam family "Bacterial small subunit ribosomal RNA", at positions 30 to 507 of the family's 1533-position model. The record is from RNAcentral.
AGCGAACGCUGGCGGCAGGCCUAACACAUGCAAGUCGAACGGCAGCACAGUAAUAGCUUGCUGUUACGGGGGGCGGAUGGCGGACGGGUGAGGUGUAUAUCGGAAUCUUCUUUUUCGGGGGGGUUAACGUAGGGAAAGUUACUCCAAUACCGGAUAUGACGUACGGGGGAAAGCAGGGGAUCUUCGGACCUGUCGCGGUUGAACUAGCCGAUGUCGGAUUAGAUAGUUGGCGGGUGAAAGGCCCACCCAGGCGACGAUCCGUAGCUGGUCUGGGAGAGUGGUACGCGACCCUGGAGGUGAGACACGGUCCAGACUCCUGCGGUAGGCCGCAGUGGGGAAUAUUAGGCAAUGGGGGCGAGUCUGAUCCAGCGAUACCGCGUGGGAGACGAAGACGUUCGGGUUGGAAAGCCCUUUUGUUGGGAGAAAAACGCAGCAGGUUAAUACGCCGCUGUACUGACGGUACCCAGAGAAGAAGCACCGGCUAACUUCGUG